Cucumis sativus (cucumber) is the source of this 1805-nucleotide long non-coding RNA. RefSeq lists it as uncharacterized. Lineage: Eukaryota; Viridiplantae; Streptophyta; Magnoliopsida; Cucurbitales; Cucurbitaceae. The transcript is spliced from 3 exons. The record is from RefSeq and is a predicted model, not a curated record.
AUUUGGUGGAUACUUGGGCAAGGUAGAUGGAUCACAAGCAUAUGGCUUCGUUUUGAAAUACUGGAAAGGAAGGCAAAUCAUUAACCCAAAAACAUUUGAGACUUUGAGUUAUAGUUGUCAGGAUAGCAAUCAUGUUUGAGAUUGAAUAUGAAGGGGCAAGAGCUACCUCAGACAUGAGAGCAGAUGAGGCUGUUCCACGCUUGUAAGGUUCUAUGGCAAGAAAAGAUUCUAAUAGGCUCAAUGCGGUUGGUGCAAAUUCUUUACACUUUUCACUAAGAGAACUUUCAUAUGCAUGUUGGGGUUUGAACAUAGCUGCAUGAGGAAGCUUUGUUUUUUUCCAGAACUCUUCAGGUGGGGAGCCGCAAAGUUUGAAUAUUUUGUGCAAUUGUUCAACCUGUUUCGUUUUUUUCCAUUCGUGUCAGAUCAAACACUAAGCAACAAUCAAUAAGACAAAGGCUUCUAUUGGAAACCCCCAUCAAUAUUACCUCGGUUCUUCCUUUAAGAAGUGGUUUCCCCAGGUGCAAUUCUGCAAAUACACAUCCUAUACUCCAGAGGUCCACUGUUAAUCCGUAAUCUGUUGAACCCAUCAGAAGCUCAGGUGGGCGGUACCAUAAUGUCACCACUCGACUUGUUAGCGCUUGCUUGUUUCUCGAGUUUAUGACAUUUGCUAAUCCAAAAUCUGCUAACUUCAGAACUCCUUCAUUGUUUACCAAAAUAUUGGAUGCCUUAAUGUCUCUAUGCAUUAUACCCCGAAGGUGGCAAUGCUCAAUUGCAGAUAGCAGCUGUCUCAUAUAACACUUUAUCUGAAAAAGAGAACACAAUAGUUUCUUACAUAUAUAAAAACCACAGACCCAAUGGAAGAGGAAAUGAGAUUGUUUUUUUAUUAACACUUUGCCAACGCUAUUGAUUGUGCACGUUAAAUCAGUGGAUGAAAUACCAACCUGUGCCUCACUGAACUUGAUAUUAGGAGAAGACACUAGCCCUGCAAGAUCGUGAUCCAUGUAUUCAAAUACAAGGUAAAUGCUGCUAGACAUUUUUGAAGUAAUUAUUCCUUCUAACUGCAUGAUGUUUGGAUGUUCAAGCCGGCGCAAAAUCAUAAUUUCCCUUGCCAUAAAUCUAAUGCUCUCCGGUUGAAAAUUGUCAAAACGAACCUUCUUCAAGGCAACCAUCUUUCCUGACUCAACUUCUCGAGCACGAAACACACUGCUGUAUGUUCCUUGGCCAAUCUAAUUCAAAAACAAAAUUGUUUGAUCUUUCUGAGUAAUGUGUACAUAGAUGCACAUCAAACAUUCAAGAGGAUGAUGCAUUACACAGGCCAUUGCCAAUAACAAGAUUUAUAGACCUUCAGAACAUACAAAGAACAGAACUUGAUCUAAUGCUCCAAGAGACAUGUUUGGGGUUCGAUUAAUUCAAAUAUUGGGGCAGAAAACUUGAACAUAUUCAUCUAAGAUAGCAUUUGCUAAAUGCUGUCUUCACCGAAUGUGUUGUUCUAAGUUCUUGUAACUCAAAGCCAUAUAUGAAUGUCAUAAAGACCAUUUUAACAACUGCACAGAAAGACUCUUAACGCAAUGUGGUUGGUUAAUCACUCUGUUUUUCAUAUGAACCUGCGUUAGAUUAUUAGAAUCAAUCUCUUGGGAGUAGGCCCUUCUUUGUAGUUUUUUAAGGACAAACGAAGAAAUCACGAGUGUCAUAAUUCGUACCUUCUCCAACUUCUCGAAGGAAUCAGCUCGAAGAGGAACCCAUCCAUGUACGGCCUCACCGGCAGCACUACUAAGCCAAGAGGGCCAGCCGGCGGCAACCUGCUC